GGUGGCCUAGUGGUUAAAGCGUCCGCCUUGAAUGCAGGAGGUCACGGGUUCGAUCCCUGCCAAGUCA
This is a non-coding RNA of Potamilus streckersoni, 67 nucleotides long. The record is from the annotation of a GenBank genome assembly. Lineage: Eukaryota; Metazoa; Mollusca; Bivalvia; Unionida; Unionidae.